GUACUCUCACACUUCUGAUCCUUUGGAUUGGGAGCGGUGGACUUGGGUGCUGCUGCUUUACCGGUGGCUCACCUCAAAUGCAUUAGUGCACCUCUUGGUUGGACAUAGUACGGCGUGAUAAGUGUCUUUGCUGGCACCUCUUGCGAGGGUGGCUGAUCAGGAGCUCUGUGCUUCCAACCGUCUUUCAGACAACAACUGACA
RNAcentral lists this unclassified non-coding RNA (201 nucleotides) under uncultured Sebacina. RNAcentral's name for it is "sequence contains ITS2". The record is from RNAcentral. Lineage: Eukaryota; Fungi; Basidiomycota; Agaricomycetes; Sebacinales; Sebacinaceae.